CAUUUUUAUUUAUUUUGACAACAUCUGUACUCUAAUUGGAUUCUUUAACACAUUUUAAAUUAAUUUGAUUUCUUUAUACAUUUAGAUUUGGUGGGCUGAGUUCCAUCCUACAGCAUGAAAAUAAAGGCCAUACUUUCAGUGUGAAGGAGAAAGCUAGAAGCAGGGUGGAACAAAGACACAGCCUAGCUGCCGUAUCUGCCCUGGACUCUAUGCCUUGAUGAAAUAGACUUCUCUGUAUGGAGUGAAGUGCCACUUGUCAGUGGAAAUAGUGUCAAUUCUGCUUGCUAAAGAAGAUAUAAG
Molecule: long non-coding RNA, 300 nt
Filed under: Felis catus (domestic cat)
Lineage: Eukaryota; Metazoa; Chordata; Mammalia; Carnivora; Felidae
Description: lncRNA (ENSFCAG00000045594.2)
Source: RNAcentral